Long non-coding RNA from Chinchilla lanigera (long-tailed chinchilla), 529 nucleotides. RefSeq lists it as uncharacterized. NCBI's taxonomy places the organism in Eukaryota, Metazoa, Chordata, Mammalia, Rodentia, Chinchillidae. The transcript is spliced from 4 exons. The record is from RefSeq and is a predicted model, not a curated record.
ACCCUUAGAACUACAGCUUCAGUUUCCUUCAUGUAACCGUCAGGUUCCCGUGGUUUUCUUGAGUGAGUUCCGGUAGGCUGUGCCCCUCAGGGAGCGGUCGUCUCGUCUCUGCGACUGAGUCUUUCUGUACAGGACUGUGUGCUUACUGCGUACCGGCCGCGUUGCCUGUGAGUUUCCUCAGGUGAAGAAUUAGAUUAUCGAUUUGAAGUCUUUCUUUUUAAAGAUCCCCCUAGCGCCCCAGGGAACAUGCAAAGCCCUCUCUGUUGGCUCGGGAGCUGAGUCACCCCAGCACUGUCACGGUGGCCGAGCAUCGGAUCACAGCGCACAUAACACACCUAGUGCGAAGGUUUACCUUUUAGUAAAAAGAAAUUGCUGUAAGUGUUUUGAAAAAAUCCAGGACAUCGAGGCAGCCACGAAAAGACAUCAGGAAAGAAGACUUCCAGAGCUGCAUCAGAACGUGGCAAGAACAAUGACAUAAAUGUGCAUGGAGGGUGUGUGUGGGGAGUAGUUUAAUGGGGGCCAAUGGCAA